GAUGAACGCUGGCGGCGUGCUUAACACAUGCAAGUCGAACGAUGAACCUCACUUGUGGGGGGAUUAGUGGCGAACGGGUGAGUAACACGUGAGUAACCUGCCCUUGACUCUGGGAUAAGCCUGGGAAACCGGGUCUAAUACUGGAUACGACCUUCUGGCGCAUGCCAUGUUGGUGGAAAGCUUUUGUGGUUUUGGAUGGACUCGCGGCCUAUGAGCUUGUUGGUGGGGUAAUGGCCUACCAAGGCGACGACGGGUAGCCGGCCUGAGAGGGUGACCGGCCAGACUGGGACUGCGAAACGGCACAGACUCCAACGGUAGGCAGCAGUGGGGAAUAGUGCACAAUGGGAGCAAGCCUGAUGGAGCGACGCCGCGUGAGGGAUGAAGGCCUGCGGGUUGUAAACCUCUGUCAGUAGGGAAGAAGCCGGCUAUUGGGUUGGUGACGGUACCUGCAGAAGAAGCGCCGGCUAACUACGUG
RNAcentral lists this ribosomal RNA (475 nucleotides) under uncultured bacterium. RNAcentral describes it as "partial 16S ribosomal RNA". It matches the Rfam family "Bacterial small subunit ribosomal RNA", at positions 28 to 507 of the family's 1533-position model. The record is from RNAcentral.